This 406-nucleotide ribosomal RNA is filed under the name uncultured bacterium. Its description in RNAcentral is "partial 16S ribosomal RNA". It matches the Rfam family "Bacterial small subunit ribosomal RNA", at positions 30 to 526 of the family's 1533-position model. The record is from RNAcentral.
AUUGAACGCUGGCGGCAGGCCUAACACAUGCAAGUCGAGCGAGUGGCGGACGGGUGAGUAAUGUAUGGGUAUCUGCCCGAUAGAGGGGGAUAACUACUGGAAACGGUCGCUAAUACCGCAUACUAUCGGAUGAACCCAGAUGGGAUUAGCUAGUAGGUGGGGUAAAGGCUCACCUAGGCGACGAUCUCUAGCUGGUCUGAGAGGAUGAUCAGCCACACUAGGACUGAGACACGGUCCAGACGCCUACGGGAGGAAGCAGUGGGGAAUAUUGCACAAUGGGCGAAAGACUGAUGCAGCCAUGCCGCGUGUAUGAAGAAGGCCUUAGGGUUGUAGAGUACUUUCAGCGAGAAGGCGUUACCCGCAGAAGAAGCACCGGCUAACUCCGUGCCAGCCGCCGCGGUAAUUC